RNAcentral lists this ribosomal RNA (1506 nucleotides) under Vibrio cholerae O1 biovar El Tor. Its description in RNAcentral is "bacterial LSU rRNA". It matches the Rfam family "Bacterial large subunit ribosomal RNA", at positions 1 to 1558 of the family's 2925-position model. The record is from RNAcentral. Lineage: Bacteria; Pseudomonadati; Pseudomonadota; Gammaproteobacteria; Vibrionales; Vibrionaceae.
GUUGUAUGGUUAAGUGACUAAGCGUACACGGUGGAUGCCUGGGCAGUCAGAGGCGAUGAAGGACGUACUAACUUGCGAUAAGCGCAGAUAAGGCAGUAAGAGCCGUUUGAGUCUGCGAUUUCCGAAUGGGGAAACCCAACUGCAUAAGCAGUUACUGUUAACUGAAUACAUAGGUUAACAGAGCAAACCGGGGGAACUGAAACAUCUAAGUACCCCGAGGAGAAGAAAUCAACCGAGAUUCCGGUAGUAGCGGCGAGCGAACCUGGAUUAGCCCUUAAGCACUCGGUGAAGUAGGUGAACAAGCUGGAAAGCUUGGCGAUACAGGGUGAUAGCCCCGUAACCGACGCUUCAUCGAGCGUGAAAUCGAGUAGGGCGGGACACGUGAUAUCCUGUCUGAAUAUGGGGGGACCAUCCUCCAAGGCUAAAUACUCCUGACUGACCGAUAGUGAACCAGUACCGUGAGGGAAAGGCGAAAAGAACCCCUGUGAGGGGAGUGAAAUAGAACCUGAAACCGUGUACGUACAAGCAGUAGGAGCACCUUCGUGGUGUGACUGCGUACCUUUUGUAUAAUGGGUCAGCGACUUAUAUUCAGUGGCAAGGUUAACCGUAUAGGGGAGCCGUAGCGAAAGCGAGUCUUAACUGGGCGCUCAGUCUCUGGAUAUAGACCCGAAACCGGGUGAUCUAGCCAUGGGCAGGUUGAAGGUUGAGUAACAUCAACUGGAGGACCGAACCGACUAAUGUUGAAAAAUUAGCGGAUGACUUGUGGCUAGGGGUGAAAGGCCAAUCAAACUCGGAGAUAGCUGGUUCUCCCCGAAAGCUAUUUAGGUAGCGCCUCGGACGAAUACUACUGGGGGUAGAGCACUGUUAAGGCUAGGGGGUCAUCCCGACUUACCAACCCUUUGCAAACUCCGAAUACCAGUAAGUACUAUCCGGGAGACACACGGCGGGUGCUAACGUCCGUCGUGGAGAGGGAAACAACCCAGACCGCCAGCUAAGGUCCCAAAGUAUUGCUAAGUGGGAAACGAUGUGGGAAGGCUCAGACAGCUAGGAUGUUGGCUUAGAAGCAGCCAUCAUUUAAAGAAAGCGUAAUAGCUCACUAGUCGAGUCGGCCUGCGCGGAAGAUGUAACGGGGCUAAGCAAUACACCGAAGCUGCGGCAAUGUCUUUUAGACAUUGGGUAGGGGAGCGUUCUGUAAGCCGUUGAAGGUGAAUCGUAAGGUUUGCUGGAGGUAUCAGAAGUGCGAAUGCUGACAUGAGUAACGACAAAGGGGGUGAAAAACCUCCUCGCCGGAAGACCAAGGGUUCCUGUCCAACGUUAAUCGGGGCAGGGUGAGUCGACCCCUAAGGUGAGGCCGAAAGGCGUAAUCGAUGGGAAACGGGUUAAUAUUCCCGUACUUCUGACUAUUGCGAUGGGGGGACGGAGAAGGCUAGGUGGGCCAGGCGACGGUUGUCCUGGUUCAAGUGCGUAGGCUUGAGAGUUAGGUAAAUCCGGCUCUCUCUAAGGCUG